RNAcentral lists this ribosomal RNA (468 nucleotides) under uncultured bacterium. RNAcentral's name for it is "partial 16S ribosomal RNA". It matches the Rfam family "Bacterial small subunit ribosomal RNA", at positions 28 to 507 of the family's 1533-position model. The record is from RNAcentral.
GACGAACGCUGGCGGCGUGCUUAACACAUGCAAGUCGAACGGAAAGGCCCUGCUUUUGUGGGGUGCUCGAGUGGCGAACGGGUGAGUAACACGUGAGUAACCUGCCCUUGACUUUGGGAUAACUUCAGGAAACUGGGGCUAAUACCGGAUAGGAGCUCCUGCUGCAUGGUGGGGGUUGGAAAGUUUCGGCGGUUGGGGCUGGACUCGCGGCUUAUCAGCUUGUUGGUGGGGUAGUGGCUUACCAAGGCUUUGACGGGUAGCCGGCCUGAGAGGGUGGCCGGCCACAUUGGGACUGAGAUACGGCGCAGUCUCCUACGGGAGGCAGCAGUGGGGAAUAUUGCACAAUGGGCGGAAGCCUGAUGCAGAGACGCCGCGUGCGGGAUGACGGCCUUCGGGUUGUAAACCGCUUUCGCCUGUGACGAAGCGUGAGUGACGGUAAUGGGUAAAGAAGCACCGGCUAACUACGUG